Molecule: unclassified non-coding RNA, 254 nt
Filed under: Hevea brasiliensis (rubber tree)
Lineage: Eukaryota; Viridiplantae; Streptophyta; Magnoliopsida; Malpighiales; Euphorbiaceae
Source: RNAcentral
GACUAAAAAUCAAGAAAUUAACCUAAACAUAGAAAUACAUCACAAACAACAGAAAUAUUCAAAACCAAAAAAUCACUCCGCCUUUGGCCUUUAUUUUCUCUCCACCGUCGACUACGUACCCUUUCUUUCAUUCAUUUACAUACGUUCAUGUUUCUCUUCUGAUCCAUUUAUCGUCUUUCUCCAUUUUUCUUGAUUUAAUUCUCUACCAUUUCUCUUCCUUCCCCUGUGAUUGGUGAUUAAUCUUUUUUUUUUUU